RNAcentral lists this ribosomal RNA (468 nucleotides) under uncultured bacterium. RNAcentral's name for it is "partial 16S ribosomal RNA". It matches the Rfam family "Bacterial small subunit ribosomal RNA", at positions 28 to 507 of the family's 1533-position model. The record is from RNAcentral.
GACGAACGCUGGCGGCGUGCUUAACACAUGCAAGUCGAACGGAAAGGCCCUGCUUUUGUGGGGUGCUCGAGUGGCGAACGGGUGAGUAACACGUGAGUAACCUGCCCUUGACUUUGGGAUAACUUCAGGAAAGUGGGGCUAAUACCGGAUAGGUGAUCCUGCUGCAUGGUGGGGUUUGGAAAGUUUCGGCGGUUGGGGAAGGACUCUGCGCUUCUCAGCUUGUUGGGGGGGUAAUGGCUUACCAAGGCUUUGACGGGUUGCCGGCCUGAAGGGGUGACCGGCCACAUUGGGACUGAGAUACGGCCCAGACUCCUACGGGAGGCAGCAGUGGGGAAUAAUGCACAAUGGGAGGAAGCCUGAUGCAGCAACGCCGCGUGCGGGAUGACGGCCUUCGGGUUGUAAACCGCUUUCGCAGUUGACGAAGCGUGAGUGACGGUAAUGGGUAAAGAAGCAACGGCUAACUACGUG